Non-coding RNA from Solanum lycopersicum (tomato), 913 nucleotides. Lineage: Eukaryota; Viridiplantae; Streptophyta; Magnoliopsida; Solanales; Solanaceae. The record is from RefSeq and is a predicted model, not a curated record.
CGACCACAAGCAUUCCGACACAAAGAUUUGGGUUCCAUCAAACCCUCGAGGUGCUGAGAGGCUACCAGCGGAUAUCGUUGCAUCUGAGUCUAAUCUUUAUGCUCGAAGAUUGUGGGGCCUACCCCAUGAGCUACCACUUGUGCAACAGUCCUCACCCGAGCAAUAUUUGCUGAAGGGUGCAAGUCAGUGGCAGCUGGUAUGAAUGCAAUGGACCUUAGACGGGGUAUUACCAUGGCUGUAGAUUCUGUUGUGACAAACCUGAGGUAAUACCCCAUCUAUGUAGGCCUGCAGAGAAAUAUCCAGACUUGUUCUCAAAGGGUUCAUUAUUUGGGAGAUUUCCCUAUUUCUUGCCUUGCCUUUGCAUAUCAGUGUUCGCCUUGGUUGUGGCUGUUGGUUCAUUUUGGAUUCCGCUUCUUCUUAUGAAACGUGGAGGACAAGUGAUAUAUGGGGGGAAGCUUGGGGAGAAGUCACAAACUAUGGUUGACUACUUUCAGAGUAUUCCUGGGAUACCCCCAAUUCCUAGUGGUUACAAUCCAGCAACCUGGAUGCUUGAGAUAAGUACGCCUGCUGCUGAAGAAAGGAUGGGAGAAGAUUUUGCAGUAAUAUACAGAAAUUCGGAGCAGUUCAGGGGAGUGGAGGCCUUAAUUAAGCAACUGAGCGUCCCGCCUGAGAACUCAGAACCUCUAAAGUUCACCAGCAUAUACAGUCAAGGUGCAUUUUCUCAGUUUAGGAUCUGUCUCUGGAAGCAAAAUCUUGUGUAUUGGAGAAGUCCGACUUAUAAUGCUGUUAGGUUGUUCUUUACAACGUUGAGUGCUUUGAUUCUCGGUUCUAUAUUUUGUUGAUUGUUGAAAGUUUUUUUGUUUCAGUCCAGCUGAAAAAAUGUUUCUCAAUAAAAGGGGCGGACAUUUAAGUA